GUGGGGAAUAUUGCACAAUGGGGGGAACCCUGAUGCAGCGACGCCGCGUGAGGGAAGAAGGUUUUUGGAUUGUAAACCUCUGUCCUUGGUAAAGAAGCAAGACGGUAGCCAAGGAGGAAGCCACGGCUAACUACGUGCCAGCAGCCGCGGUAAUACGUAGGUGGCAAGCGUUGUCCGGAAUUACUGGGUGUAAAGGGAGCGUAGGCGGUUAUGCAAGUUGAAUGUGAAAUCUAUCGGCUCAACUGAUAGGCUGCGUUCAAAACUGUAUAUCUUGAGUGAAGUAGAGGCAGGCGGAAUUCCUAGUGUAGCGGUGAAAUGCGUAAAUAUUAGGAGGAACACCAGUGGCGAAGGCGGUCUGCUGGGCUUUAACUGACGCUGAGGCUCGAAAGCGUGGGUAGCAAACAGGAUUAGAAACCCUAGUAGUCC
RNAcentral lists this ribosomal RNA (426 nucleotides) under uncultured bacterium. RNAcentral's name for it is "bacterial SSU rRNA". It matches the Rfam family "Bacterial small subunit ribosomal RNA", at positions 354 to 796 of the family's 1533-position model. The record is from RNAcentral.